Molecule: long non-coding RNA, 662 nt
Organism: Oreochromis niloticus (Nile tilapia)
Lineage: Eukaryota; Metazoa; Chordata; Actinopteri; Cichliformes; Cichlidae
Exons: 2
Source: RefSeq, a predicted model, not a curated record
UAAACAUAGAUUAGCAUACUUUACACUGAUGCUAGAAAAAAAAGUGUUUUGUUGUAAUUUUACAGUGUUGUAUGCAUGAUGUGUCAGAAAUCAGUUCAGGUUGGUUGCCUUAGUGUGUCAGUAUAUGCCUAGAUUUAUAUUUGUAAGUGCAUGUGUUUGUUUGUGUCUGCAACUGUUUUUCAUGGUUCUCACCCUGGUAACUACUGAGUGUGAAAAAGAAACCACUAAAGAUACCACUAAUACCACUACAUAUGCAGUGUGUACUAAGUCUGUGUACUAAGCCAGUCAACCACUGUUCUGUCCCAAGUAAAAGAUUAAAAAUGAUUCAUAAUAAUUUGGUGAUAAAAAUGUCAUAUUUCAUCUGUGGUAAUUUAUGUUAAAAAAGAGAGUCAUUUAGUUAAAAAAUAUUUUCUAUACAGUCAGCAUUAGUUUUUCUGUAUCUUAUUUUGAAGGAGUAAUCUGUGUUCGCAAUGCAUUGUGGGAAGCGGAAGCUGCAGUCAGUUGGGAAAAAGCAUUGUACAGAAAGCCUGCCUAUCCGUGUUUAAACUUCAUCUCCUGUGCCCUGAAUCUUUAUAUACACUAUCGAAAGCAAUGGCUUUUCACUCAGCACUUUCAUCGAGCUAUUCAAGCCACAAUUGUAAAAGAUUGUAAGCUGUCGAGAA